AAUCAACAAGAAGGGAAAGAAAACAACAUCAGUUAGUAGAAAACAGGAAAACCAACAAAAGCCGAGAAUAACAAAUCACAAAAGAACACAACACAGAACGAACAAUUAAGACGCAAAAGAAUUGUUGGAACAAAAAGAAAUUCCAAACCAAAAGGCAACAAAAAAACCCAGUCAACUUGGCUAUGAUACCAUGUGAAAAAGAAUGAUUAAUUUAUUCAAAAUUAAUUCAAGGUACAAGUCUAGGCUCGACUAUAUAUAGUUGUAGCAACAAAACGGAAAGAGAAACUACCCUAUAAAUCCCU
This 302-nucleotide long non-coding RNA is filed under the name Vitis vinifera (wine grape). RNAcentral's name for it is "long non-coding RNA (VVIN_LNC006994)". Lineage: Eukaryota; Viridiplantae; Streptophyta; Magnoliopsida; Vitales; Vitaceae. The record is from RNAcentral.